This 468-nucleotide ribosomal RNA is filed under the name uncultured bacterium. RNAcentral's name for it is "partial 16S ribosomal RNA". It matches the Rfam family "Bacterial small subunit ribosomal RNA", at positions 28 to 507 of the family's 1533-position model. The record is from RNAcentral.
GAUGAACGCUGACAGAAUGCUUAACACGUGCAAGUCUACUUGAAUUUGGGUUUUUUAACUUAGAUUUGGGUGGCGGACGGGUGAGUAACGCGUAAAGAACUUGCCUCACAGCUAGGGACAACAUUUGGAAACGAAUGCUAAUACCUGAUAUUAUGAUUAUAAGGCAUCUUAGAAUUAUGAAAGCUAUAUGCGCUGUGAGAGAGCUUUGCGUCCCAUUAGCUAGUUGGAGAGGUAACGGCUCACCAAGGCGAUGAUGGGUAGCCGGCCUGAGAGGGUGAACGGCCACAAGGGGACUGAGACACGGCCCUUACUCCUACGGGAGGCAGCAGUGGGGAAUAUUGGACAAUGGACCAAGAGUCUGAUCCAGCAAUUCUGUGUGCACGAUGACGUUUUUCGGAAUGUAAAGUGCUUUCAGUUGGGAAGAAAAAAAUGACGGUACCAACAGAAGAAGUGACGGCUAAAUACGUG